GACGAACGCUGGCGGCGUGCUUAACACAUGCAAGUCGAACGGAAAGGCCCUGCUUUUGUGGGGUGCUCGAGUGGCGAACGGGUGAGUAACACGUGAGUAACCUGCCCUUGACUUUGGGAUAACUUCAGGAAACUGGGGCUAAUACCGGAUAGGAGCUCCUGCUGCAUGGUGGGGGUUGGAAAGUUUCGGCGGUUGGGGAUGGACUCGCGGCUUAUCAGCUUGUUGGUGGGGUAGUGGCUUACCAAGGCUUUGACGGGUAGCCGGCCUGAGAGGAUGACCGGCCACAUUGGGACUGAGAGACGGCCCAGACUCCUACGGGAGGCAGCAGUGGGGAAUAUUGCACAAUGGGCGGAAGCCUGAUGCAGCAACGCCGCGUGCGGGAUGACGGCCUUCGGGUUGUAAACCGCUUUCGCCUGUGACGAAGCGUGAGUGACGGUAAUGGGUAAAGAAGCACCGGCUAACUACGUG
Molecule: ribosomal RNA, 468 nt
Filed under: uncultured bacterium
Lineage: Bacteria
Description: partial 16S ribosomal RNA
Rfam family: Bacterial small subunit ribosomal RNA
Source: RNAcentral